UGUGGGAGCGAGCUUGCUCGCGAUGGCGGCCUGUCAGUCAACAUUUCUGUUGAAGCUGAUGGCCUCAUCGCGAGCGAGCUCGCUCCCACA
This 90-nucleotide non-coding RNA is filed under the name Pseudomonas sp. OV226. Lineage: Bacteria; Pseudomonadati; Pseudomonadota; Gammaproteobacteria; Pseudomonadales; Pseudomonadaceae. The record is from RNAcentral.